RNAcentral lists this transfer RNA (72 nucleotides) under Hofstenia miamia. RNAcentral describes it as "tRNA-Thr for anticodon UGU". It matches the Rfam family "tRNA". From Rfam's summary of the family: Transfer RNA (tRNA) molecules are approximately 80 nucleotides in length. Their secondary structure includes four short double-helical elements and three loops (D, anti-codon, and T loops). Lineage: Eukaryota; Metazoa; Xenacoelomorpha; Acoela; Hofsteniidae. The record is from RNAcentral.
GGCAUCGUAGCUUAGUGGUAAAGCGCCAGACUUGUAAACUGGAGAUCGGUGGUUCGAGUCCGCCCGGGGCCU